RNAcentral lists this ribosomal RNA (612 nucleotides) under Ateleute sp. 17 BFS-2018. Its description in RNAcentral is "partial 28S large subunit ribosomal RNA". It matches the Rfam family "Eukaryotic large subunit ribosomal RNA", at positions 534 to 842 of the family's 3401-position model. Lineage: Eukaryota; Metazoa; Arthropoda; Insecta; Hymenoptera; Ichneumonidae. The record is from RNAcentral.
UGACGGUGACUUCGGUCAGUCGACACUCGUCUGCAUGUUUAUUAUUGCCUGAAUCGUCGGCGUGCACUUCUCCCCUAGUAGGACGUCGCGACCCGUUGGGUGUCGGUCUACGGCUCGGAUGGUARCCUGUCUCGCGUGCGUCUCACGGCGUUUCGCGGGUCAGACCUCCGAUCGCCCGACCGGCUGCUCGGCGGUACUCGCACGGUAUCUGGCCGCAAAUAUUUGAACUGCGUCCGGCCYGUCGCAAGCGAGGCAAGUGUUUCCCGGCUGUACGGAUUUAAUGCCGUCGCCGGGCCUUGACAGCUGUUGGUUGACGGUGUCCUGGGACUGGUCACCAAAAUUAUGAUACCGGUCGGCGACGCUACUGCUUUGGGUACUUUCAGGACCCGUCUUGAAACACGGACCAAGGAGUCUAACAUGUGCGCGAGUCAUUGGGAACUAUUAAACCUAAAGGCGCAAUGAAAGUGAAGGUCGGCCUUGCGCCGACAGAGGGAGGAUGGGCCGCGUCACGAUGCGGUCUCGCACUCCCGGGGCGUCUCGUUCUCAUUGCGAGAAGAGGCGCACCCAGAGCGUACWCGUUGGGACCCGAAAGAUGGUGAACUAUGCCUGGUC